This 730-nucleotide ribosomal RNA is filed under the name uncultured archaeon. Its description in RNAcentral is "bacterial SSU rRNA". It matches the Rfam family "Archaeal small subunit ribosomal RNA", at positions 58 to 764 of the family's 1478-position model. The record is from RNAcentral.
UCGAGCGUUUCUCAGCUAUGAAAGAGACGCGGCAGACGGCUCAGUAACAUGUGGCUAACCUGCCCUUAGGACAUAGAUAACCCCGGGAAACUGGGGCUAAUAUUUGAUAAGCGUGGAUUCCUGGAAUGGAUCCACACUCAAAGGGCGUCUAGAUCAUGCUUUAGGCGUCGCCUAAGGAUGGGGCCGCAGCCGAUCAGGUUGUUGGUGGGGUAACGGCUCACCAAGCCUAUAACCGGUACGGGCCGCGAGAGCGGUAGCCUGGAGAUGGACACUGAGACAAGGGUCCAGGCCCUACGGGGCGCAGCAGUCGCGAAAACUCCGCAAUACACGAAAGUGUGACGGGGCUAUCCCGAGUGCCGUCCGCUGAGGAUGGCUUUUCUCCAGUGUAAGGAGCUGGAGGAAUAAGGAGAGGGCAAGUCUGGUGUCAGCCGCCGCGGUAAUACCAGCUCUCCGAGUGGUAGGGAUGUUUAUUGGGCCUAAAGCGUCCGUAGCCGGUUCAGCAAGUCCUCCGUUAAAUCCAGCGAUUCAAUCGUUGGACUGCGGGAGAUACUGCUGGACUAGGGGACGGGAGAGGCCGACGGUAUUCCCGGAGUAGGGGUGAAAUCCUAUAAUUCCGGGAGGACCACCAGUGGCGAAGGCUGUCGGCUAGAACGAGCUCGACGGUGAGGGACGAAAGCUGGGGGAGCAAACCGGAUUAGAUACCCGGGUAGUCCCAGCUGUAAACGAUGCG